This is a long non-coding RNA of Homo sapiens (human), 545 nucleotides long. The record is from Ensembl. Lineage: Eukaryota; Metazoa; Chordata; Mammalia; Primates; Hominidae.
CGUUGAGUACAGAAAAAAUGGAAGCAGCAAGAAAGAGUAGUUCACAGAGCUGCCAAAAGAGGCCACUGUGAAGAUAAGAUGAAGGCAAAAUAUAAUAAUAAUCAGAUUUCUUUAGGCAUCAAAAAGAUUAUAAGUAUGACACCGGAAAAAUAGUUCUUUCUGCAAAUCCUCUUCAGUGGUGUGGUUUAAUGAAAACUCUGUAAUCUCCUUUCCAAGAGGACCAUAAUUUUCUUGAAUUCUAGGAAGCUGAAGAUAAAAAUCCUUAACGAUGUAUCCUUAUACUAUCUACAACAUACAGGACUCAGGGACACCCACACAGGGAGAAUCUCAUGUGAAGCCUGAAGGUAUGCUGCCAUAAGGCAAGGAACUGCAAGCAACUAAGAGACAGACCUGGAACAGAUCCUUGCCUAGAGCCAUCAGAGGGAACACGGCCCUGCCGACGCUGGGAUCUCAGACUUGCAGCCUCCAGAAUGACUAAUGGCAUUUUAAAUGAGAUGUGAAAUUUGGACUUUACUACUGCAGACCUUUGGCUAUCUAGUCAAAGA